GAUGAACGCUGGCGGCGUGCCUAAUACAUGCAAGUCGAGCGAACGGACGAGAAGCUUGCUUCUCUGAUGUUAGCGGCGGACGGGUGAGUAACACGUGGAUAACCUACCUAUAAGACUGGGAUAACUUCGGGAAACCGGAGCUAAUACCGGAUAAUAUUUUGAACCGCAUGGUUCAAAAGUGAAAGACGGUCUUGCUGUCACUUAUAGAUGGAUCCGCGCUGCAUUAGCUAGUUGGUAAGGUAACGGCUUACCAAGGCAACGAUGCAUAGCCGACCUGAGAGGGUGAUCGCCCACACUGGACCUGAGCCACGGUCCAGACUCCUACGGGAGGCAGCAGUAGGGAAUCUUCGGCAAUGGGCGAAAGCCUGACGGAGAAACGCCGCGUGGGUGAUGAAGGUCUUCGGAUCGUAAAACUCUGUUAUUAGGGAAGAACAUAUGUGUAAGUAACUGUGCACAUCUUGACGGUACCUAAUCAGAAAGCCACGGCUAACUACGUG
RNAcentral lists this ribosomal RNA (497 nucleotides) under uncultured bacterium. RNAcentral describes it as "partial 16S ribosomal RNA". It matches the Rfam family "Bacterial small subunit ribosomal RNA", at positions 28 to 507 of the family's 1533-position model. The record is from RNAcentral.